RNAcentral lists this unclassified non-coding RNA (265 nucleotides) under fungal sp. RNAcentral's name for it is "partial internal transcribed spacer region". The stretch from base 1 to 46 matches the Rfam family "Eukaryotic small subunit ribosomal RNA", at positions 1786 to 1831 of the family's 1831-position model. The record is from RNAcentral. Lineage: Eukaryota; Fungi.
AAGUCGUAACAAGGUCUCCGUAGGUGAACCUGCGGAGGGAUCAUUCACAUGAUAUACUUUUAAACAAACUGUGAACUUUAUAAAUACUAUUCGUGUUUUUUAUCAGUUUUACUGUAUAAUAAACAUCGUCAUUCGAUUGAACAUAAGAUAGUUGGCUUGAAAUGUAACAAUUUCUUUCUCAGCUUUGAUUUGAUAGAACUCAACAUUUUAUCACUUCAACCAUAAAACAUAGAAACAACUCUAUGCCCUGGAUAUCUUGGUUCUC